CGAUUAAGCCAUGCGAGUCGCGAGCAUUAGAUUCUCGGCGUACCGCUCAGUAACACGUGGGUAGCCUGCCCUAUGCUGGAUAAUAACCUCGGGAAACUGAGAAUAAUGAUCCAUAGUUCACUACGCCUGGAACGGUGAGUGGAUGAAAGCUCCGGCGGCAUAGGAUGGGCCUGCGGCGUAUCAGGUUGUAGGGGGUGUAACGUACCCUCUAGCCCUCUACGCGUACGGGUGUUGGGAGACAUAACCCGGAGAUGGAUUCUGAGACACGAAUCCAGACCCUACGGGGUGCAACAGGCGCGAAAACUUGGCAAUGCGAGAAAUCGUGACCACGGAACUCCAAGUGCAUGGGGUAAGACCCAUGCUUUUCUUGACUCUAAAUAGGUCUUGGAAUAAGGCGUGGGUAAGGACG
RNAcentral lists this ribosomal RNA (409 nucleotides) under uncultured euryarchaeote DF-5_21. Its description in RNAcentral is "bacterial SSU rRNA". It matches the Rfam family "Archaeal small subunit ribosomal RNA", at positions 41 to 454 of the family's 1478-position model. Lineage: Archaea; Methanobacteriati; Methanobacteriota. The record is from RNAcentral.